ACACAUCUAUCUAUUUUCAUUUUUCAUUCAUAUAAAAUCCCUUAUUCACUCUCUCACUCACUCACUCACUAUUUCUUUGUUGUGUUUUAUACUGAAUUUCAAUAUAUGGGUGCUUGCGAUAUAGUGGCUAGUAACCUUACCAUAUUCUACCUAGCAAUAAUCGUGUGUCUUAAGAUUUAUGGGGUGUGCUAUAACUUUAUGUUUGUGUUGACUCUGUCCACAACCAUAUUGGCUUUUAUUUUUGUGGCAACCUUAAUUUGGGAUUUGUUCCAGAAGUUUAGUACUAAUCCUAGUUGUUGUGUAUUUGUCCCCGAACAAGAACAAGAACAACCUCGUACCAUGUCGUCCUGUAAAGGUGGAAUCUGUUGGCACGGCGUGGCGGACCACUAUCCGGCUUCAAAGAUGCGCUUGAAAAUUCCCCUCCGUCUUCCUCAUGAUACUUAGUAAAACUAUAUAUAUAUUUUCCAGGUUGUCUUGCAUUCUGGUUCCUAAGUUUGUGCUUAUAAAAGACUUUCUCCCUAACUACAUGGGCUGAGCAGUGGGCGGUUUCGGGCCAGAAAUGUCUCAUCUGUGUAAAACCGAUAGAGCAAUUUUGAGACCCAUUUCCGACCAUUCCACACUUCGGUUUCGACGGGUCAUGGGUUGUGCGGGUCACGGUUUUCUCGGAUGGUUAUGUUCGGGCCACAACUAUAAAAAAAAAAUUAAAAAAAUUACAGAAGAGAAGGUGAGAAUAUAAGUAGAAUAAGACACAAUCUUCUUCUCAAUAGUAGACUUAUUCCCAUCAAAAGCAAUUGAACCACCCUUGGGUGUCACAACAUCUUCACAGACACAAUAGUCAUCUUCAACCUUGAGAUCUAGAGAUUAUGUUAAGGGCAAAAAUAGAUUUCUCUUGAAAAGAGAGCAUGAACAGAACAGAGAGAAAUAAUGGAUUCCAUGGGUUUAAGCUUUUCCACGCUCUAUUUCUAAUUAAAAAGUAGGAGUAUAUUGGAUCUAUAUGUUCAUACUUGUGUUGUGGUGUAACCGAAAAAAUAUAUGAAUGCAGUAAAAUAAAUAAAAAAAAUAGUCUACUUUAUAUUAUGUAUGGAGUAAAAAUACUAGUAGUAGUACUUGGUAGUUGUGAGACAUUAUUAGGAGGCAGGAGAGACAGAUGUGCAGAGGCUGCAGUGCCACUUUGCAGUCUGCAUGUGCCUUGAACCACAUAUUUGAAAAUUGAAAAAAUAAAAGUGUAUAUAUAAGCAUGUUCGGUCGGGUUCAGUUAUAAGAAAAUAAAAUUAUAGGAACCGAGCCCGCCCACCCACUACUACUCAUGUGAAACUGAUUUUUACAGUUUGAAGACCCGCAUACCCGACUCGACCGACCCGAAAGUGUGAUUCUGAAUGCGGGUUUAUCAGUUUUCGGUCGGGUGCGGAUGAUAUAGCGGUUUCUAAUUGAUCCUAUUUCCGAGUUUUAAUUGCAUUCUAGUUCCAGAGUUUAGAGAGAUGAUGAUGUUUAUACAAGUCUAACUUUUUCUGAAUCUUCCACUAUAAGUCUAGCUUGAUUGUUAUUGUUUGUUGGUAAACGUUGAUGUAUUAACUUUUGUUAAUAAUGUUGUGGGUCUUUUUAA
This is a long non-coding RNA of Trifolium pratense (red clover), 1603 nucleotides long. RefSeq lists it as uncharacterized. NCBI's taxonomy places the organism in Eukaryota, Viridiplantae, Streptophyta, Magnoliopsida, Fabales, Fabaceae. The record is from RefSeq and is a predicted model, not a curated record. The transcript is spliced from 2 exons.